Molecule: ribosomal RNA, 951 nt
Filed under: marine metagenome
Description: bacterial SSU rRNA
Rfam family: Bacterial small subunit ribosomal RNA
Source: RNAcentral
CGGGAGGCAGCAGUGAGGAAUAUUGGACAAUGGACGAAAGUCUGAUCCAGCUAUGCCGCGUGCAGGAUGACGGCCCUAUGGGUUGUAAACUGCUUUUAUACAGGAAGAAAAAAUCCGACGUGUCGGAUCUUGACGGUACUGUAAGAAUAAGGAUCGGCUAACUCCGUGCCAGCAGCCGCGGUAAUACGGAGGAUCCAAGCGUUAUCCGGAAUCAUUGGGUUUAAAGGGUCCGCAGGCGGUUUUUUAAGUCAGAGGUGAAAUCCUACAGCUCAACUGUAGAAUUGCCUUUGAUACUGAAAGACUUGAGUUAUUGUGAAGUGGUUAGAAUGUGUGGUGUAGCGGUGAAAUGCAUAGAUAUCACACAGAAUACCAAUUGCGAAGGCAGAUCACUAACAAUAUACUGACGCUCAGGGACGAAAGCGUGGGUAGCGAACAGGAUUAGAUACCCUGGUAGUCCACGCCGUAAACGAUGGAUACUAGCUGUAUGUCUACCUCAGGUAGAUGUGUGGCCAAGCGAAAGUGAUAAGUAUCCCACCUGGGGAGUACGAUCGCAAGAUUGAAACUCAAAGGAAUUGACGGGGGCCCGCACAAGCGGUGGAGCAUGUGGUUUAAUUCGAUGAUACGCGAGGAACCUUACCAGGGCUUAAAUGUAACGGGACAGAUCUAGAGAUAGAUCCUUCUUCGGACUCAUUACAAGGUGCUGCAUGGUUGUCGUCAGCUCGUGCCGUGAGGUGUCAGGUUAAGUCCUAUAACGAGCGCAACCCCCAUCGUUAGUUGCCAACGAGUAAUGUCGGGAACUCUAACGAAACUGCCGGUGCAAACCGUGAGGAAGGUGGGGAUGACGUCAAAUCAUCACGGCCCUUACGUCCUGAGCUACACACGUGCUACAAUGGUCGGUACAGAGAGCAGCCACUACGCGAGUAGGAGCAAAUCUUCAAAGCCGAUCUCAGU